This 74-nucleotide transfer RNA is filed under the name bacterium. Its description in RNAcentral is "tRNA-Pro". It matches the Rfam family "tRNA". From Rfam's summary of the family: Transfer RNA (tRNA) molecules are approximately 80 nucleotides in length. The record is from RNAcentral.
CGGGGUGUGGCGCAGCCCGGUAGCGCGCUUGCAUGGGGUGCAAGAGGUCCCGAGUUCGAGUCUCGGCGCCCCUA